This 1635-nucleotide ribosomal RNA is filed under the name metagenome. RNAcentral describes it as "SSU rRNA". It matches the Rfam family "Eukaryotic small subunit ribosomal RNA". The record is from RNAcentral.
UCUGGUUGAUCCUGCCAGUAGUCAUAUGCUUGUCCUAAAGAUUAAGCCAUGCAUGUCUAAGUAUAAGCUUUUAUACAGUGAGACUGCGAAUGGCUCAUUAAAUCAGUUAUAGUUUAUUUGCUGAACGUUUAUAUGGAUAACCGUAGUAAUUCUAGAGCUAAUACAUGCUGGUUGCGCAGUGCGUAGUAUAUAUUAGAUAAAGCCAACGGGCGAGGAGUCAUAAUAUCUGAGCGGACUUCGUUUGAAGUGCAGCAUUGAAGUUUCUGCCCUAUCAGCUUGAUGGUAGUGUAUUGGACUACCAUGGCAAUGACGGGUGACGGAGAAUUAGGGUUCGAUUCCGGAGAGGGAGCCUGAGAAACGGCUACCACAUCUAAGGAAGGCAGCAGGCGCGCAAAUUACCCAAUCCUAACUCAGGGAGGUAGUGACAAGAAAUAACAACGCGGGGCAAAGUCUCGUGAUUGGAAUGAGGACAAUGUAAAAGCCUUAUCGAGGAUCCACUGGAGGGCAAGUCUGGUGCCAGCAGCCGCGGUAAUACCAGCUCCAGUAGCGUAUAUUAAAGUUGUUGCAGUUAAAAAGCUCGUAGUUGAAGUUCUGUACGGAUUGAGUCUCUACGGAGACACAAGCCGUACAUCCGUCUGAUUCUUCAGACACUUUACCUUGAGCAAAUUAGAGUGUUCCAGGCAGGCGCCAGCCUGAAUAGUCCAGCAUGGAAUAAUAGAAAAGGACGAAGAGCCACUGUUGGUGCGUGGCCCUUAGUAAUGAUUAAUAGGGAUAGUUGGGGGCAUUCGUAUUUAAUUGUCAGAGGUGAAAUUCUAUGAUUUAUUAAAGACGAACCUAUGCGAAAGCAUUUGCCAAGGAUGUUUUCAUUAAUCAAGAACGAAAGUUAAGGGAUCAAAGACGAUCAGAUACCGUCGUAGUCUUAACCAUAAACUAUGCCGACUAGAGAUUGGAUGGGGAAUUCAAGACCCAUUCAGGAUCUUCCGAGAAAUCAAAGUCCUUGGGUUCUGGGGGGAGUAUGGUCGCAAGACUGAAACUUAAAGGAAUUGACGGAAGGGCACCACCAGGUGUGGAGCCUGCGGCUUAAUUUGACACAACACGGGGAAACUUACCAGGGCCAGACAUGGCAAGGAUUGACAGACUGACAGCUCUUUCUUGAUUCUAUGGGUGGUGGUGCAUGGCCGUUCUUAGUUGGUGGAGUGAUUUGUCUGGUUAAUUCCGAUAACGAACGAGACCUCAGCCUGCUAACUAGUUCGUUCCUGCUUAGGAUCGGGACUUCUUAGAGGGACUUUGGGGGUUACUCCAAGGAAGUUUGAGGCAAUAACAGGUCUGUGAUGCCCUUAGAUGUCCUGGGCCGCACGCGCGCUACACUGAUGCAGGCAGUAAGUUCCAUGUCAGACAUGUCAUGGGAACCUUCAAACUGCAUCGUGAUGGGGAUUGACUCUUGGAAUUCUUGGUCAUAAACGAGGAAUACCUAGUAAACGCAAGUCAUCAGCUUGCAUUGAUUACGUCCCUGCCCUUUGUACACACCGCCCGUCGCUCCUACCGAUUGAGUGGUGAGGUGAACCCUUCGGACCGCUUACCCGGGAAGUUGUGUAAACCUUACCACUUAGAGGAAGGAGAAGUCGUAACAAGGUU